RNAcentral lists this ribosomal RNA (629 nucleotides) under uncultured bacterium. RNAcentral describes it as "bacterial SSU rRNA". The stretch from base 1 to 541 matches the Rfam family "Bacterial small subunit ribosomal RNA", at positions 338 to 873 of the family's 1533-position model. The record is from RNAcentral.
CCUACGGGAGGCAGCAGUGGGGAAUCUUGCGCAAUGCACGACAGUGUGACGCAGCAACGCCGCGUGGGGGAAGAAGGCCUUCGGGUUGUAAACCUCUUUCAGGAAGGACGAAGCCUCGGCCGCGAAUAGCGGUCCGAGGUGACGGUACUUCCACAAGAAGCCCCGGCUAACUACGUGCCAGCAGCCGCGGUAAUACGUAGGGGGCUAGCGUUGUCCGGAAUCAUUGGGCGUAAAGCGCGCGUAGGCGGCCAGAUAAGUCCGGUGUGAAAGUCACAGGCUCAACCUGUGAAUGCCGCUGGAAACUGUCUGGCUAGAGUCCGGAAGGGGCGAGUGGAAUUCCUGGUGUAGCGGUGAAAUGCGCAGAUAUCAGGAGGAACACCAAUGGCGAAGGCAGCUCGCUGGAACGGUACUGACGCUGAGGCGCGAAAGCGUGGGGAGCGAACAGGAUUAGAUACCCUGGUAGUCCACGCCGUAAACGAUGGGCACUAGGUGUGGGGAGGUGUCGACUCCUCCUGUGCGACGCGUACGCGAUAGUGCCGCCGCGGGUAAGGUACGGCCGCGAGACGUUAAACGUUACGAAGAAGUUAGACGGCGNGAGACGNGCCGACGGACGACGACGAGGGAGGAGG